This 972-nucleotide ribosomal RNA is filed under the name human gut metagenome. RNAcentral describes it as "bacterial LSU rRNA". It matches the Rfam family "Bacterial large subunit ribosomal RNA", at positions 1953 to 2925 of the family's 2925-position model. The record is from RNAcentral.
AAGGUAGCGAAAUUCCUUGUCGGGUAAGUUCCGACCUGCACGAAUGGCGUAACGAUCUCCACACUGUCUCGGCCAGAGACUCGGUGAAAUUGCAGUCGCGGUGAAAAUUCCGUGUACCCGCAGAAAGACGGAAAGACCCUGUGCACCUUUACUAUAGCUUGACAUUGGAUUUUGGGCCUGCAUGUGUAGGAUAGGUGGGAGGCUGUGAACCCUGUACGCCAGUAUGGGGGGAGCCAUCCUUGAAAUACCACCCUUGCAUGUUUAAGAUCCUAACUUCUUCCGGUUAUCCCGGAGAAAGACAGUGUCUGGCGGGUAGUUUGACUGGGGCGGUCGCCUCCUAAAGUGUAACGGAGGCAUGCAAAGGUUCCCUCAGCCUGAUCGGAAACCAGGCGCUGAGUGCAAACGCAUAAGGGAGCUUGACUGUAAGAGAGACAUCUCGAACAGGAACGAAAGUUGGCGUUAGUGAUCCGGUGGUUCCGUAUGGAAGGGCCAUCGCUCAUUGGAUAAAAGGUACGCCGGGGAUAACAGGCUGAUCGCAUCCAAGAGUUCACAUCGACGAUGCGGUUUGGCACCUCGAUGUCGGCUCAUCACAUCCUGGGGCUGAAGCAGGUCCCAAGGGUACGGCUGUUCGCCGUUUAAAGUGGUACGCGAGCUGGGUUUAAAACGUCGUGAGACAGUUUGGUCCCUAUCUUCUGUGGGCGAAGGAGAAUUGAGAGGGCCUGUCCCUAGUACGAGAGGACCGGGAUGGACGCACCCCUGGUGAUCCUGUUGUCGCGCCAGCGGCAUAGCAGGGUAGCUAUGUGCGGAAGGGAUAACCGCUGAAAGCAUCUAAGCGGGAAGCCUGCCUCAAGAUAAGUUCUCCCCUCGAAAGAGCUGAAGGGCCCGGGUAGACUACCCGGUCGAUAGGCUGGAGGUGUAAGCGCGGCGACGUGCUCAGCUGACCAGUACUAAUAGCCCGUGCGGCUUGUUUGA